GGGGUUGUAGCUCAGUGGUAGAGUGCUUGCCUAGCACACAUGAGGCCCUGAGUUCAACCCCCAGUACCACCU
RNAcentral lists this transfer RNA (72 nucleotides) under Cavia porcellus (domestic guinea pig). It matches the Rfam family "tRNA". Rfam says of the family: Transfer RNA (tRNA) molecules are approximately 80 nucleotides in length. Their secondary structure includes four short double-helical elements and three loops (D, anti-codon, and T loops). Lineage: Eukaryota; Metazoa; Chordata; Mammalia; Rodentia; Caviidae. The record is from Rfam by way of RNAcentral.